AGAGUUUGAUCUUGGCUCAGAACGAACGCUGGCGGCAUGCCUAACACAUGCAAAUCGCACGAUCUCUUCGAAGGCAGUGGCGAACGGGUGAGUAACGCGUGGGAACCUACCCUGGAGUGGGGGAUAACCACUGGAAACGGUGGCUAAUACCGCAUAUGCCCUGCGGGGCAAAGCAGCAAUGCGCUCUUGGAGGGGCCCGCGUCCGAUUAGCUAGUUGGUGGGGUGACGGCCUACCAAGGCUGCGAUCGGUAGCUGGUCUGAGAGGAUGAUCAGCCACACUAGGACUGAGACACGGCCCAGACUCCUACGGGAGGCAGCAGUGGGGAAUAUUGGACAAUGGGCGAAAGCCUGAUCCAGCAAUGCCGCGUGCGUGAUGAAGGCCUUCGGGUUGUAAAGCGCUUUCACCCACGACGAUGAUGACGGUAGUGGGAGAAGAAGCCCCGGCUAACUCCGUGCCAGCAGCCGCGGUAAUACGGAGGGGGCUAGCGUUGUUCGGAAUUACUGGGCGUAAAGGGUGCGUAGGCGGCCUAUCAAGUCGGGCGUGAAAGCCCCGGGCUCAACCCGGGAUGUGCGUCCGAGACUGGUAGGCUUGAGUUCGGGAGAGGUGAGUGGAAUUCCCAGUGUAGAGGUGAAAUUCGUAGAUAUUGGGAAGAACACCGGUGGCGAAGGCGGCUCACUGGACCGACACUGACGCUGAGGCACGAAAGCGUGGGGAGCAAACAGGAUUAGAUACCCUGGUAGUCCACGCCGUAAACGAUGUGCGCUAGACGUGGGGGGUUCGGCCUUCCGUGUCGCAGCUAACGCAUUAAGCGCACCGCCUGGGGAGUACGGCCGCAAGGUUAAAACUCAAAAGAAUUGACGGA
This 863-nucleotide ribosomal RNA is filed under the name bacterium enrichment culture clone B2. RNAcentral's name for it is "bacterial SSU rRNA". It matches the Rfam family "Bacterial small subunit ribosomal RNA", at positions 8 to 917 of the family's 1533-position model. The record is from RNAcentral.